Molecule: non-coding RNA, 126 nt
Filed under: Castor canadensis (American beaver)
Lineage: Eukaryota; Metazoa; Chordata; Mammalia; Rodentia; Castoridae
Description: U4atac minor spliceosomal RNA (ENSCCNG00000031225.1)
Rfam family: U4atac minor spliceosomal RNA
About the family: U4atac is an essential component of the minor U12-type spliceosome complex which is required for removal of the rarer class of eukaryotic introns (AT-AC, U12-type). These interacting stem loops have been shown to be required for in vivo splicing.
Source: Rfam by way of RNAcentral
ACCAUCCUUUUCUUGGGGUUGCGUUACUGUCCAAUGAGCGUUUAGCGAGGACAGUACUGCUAACACCUACACAACACAUUCGCAUCAACUAGAGCUCUGCUUUACUUUGGUGCAAUUUUUGGAAAA